Molecule: ribosomal RNA, 253 nt
Filed under: uncultured bacterium
Lineage: Bacteria
Description: partial 16S ribosomal RNA
Rfam family: Bacterial small subunit ribosomal RNA
Source: RNAcentral
UACAGAGGGGGCAAGCGUUGUUCGGAAUUACUGGGCGUAAAGGGCGCGUAGGCGGCCGCCUAAGUCAGACGUGAAAUCCCUCGGCUCAACCGGGGAACUGCGUCUGAUACUGGGUGGCUUGAAUCCGGGAGAGGGAUGCGGAAUUCCAGGUGUAGCGGUGAAAUGCGUAGAUAUCGGGAGGAACACCGGUGGCGAAGGCGGCAUCCUGGACCGGCAUUGACGCUGAGGCGCGAAAGCCAGGGGAGCAAACGGG